GACGAACGCUGGCGGCGUGCUUAACACAUGCAAGUCGAACGCUGAAGCUCAGCUUUUGUUGGGUGGAUGAGUGGCGAACGGGUGAGUAACACGUGAGUAACCUGCCUCCUUCUUUGGGAUAACGCCCGGAAACGGGUGCUAAUACUGGAUAUUCACUGGUCUUCGCAUGGGGGUUGGUGGAAAGGGUUUUUCUGGUGGGGGAUGGGCUCGCGGCCUAUCAGCUUGUUGGUGGGGUGAUGGCCUACCAAGGCUUUGACGGGUAGCCGGCCUGAGAGGGUGACCGGUCACAUUGGGACUGAGAUACGGCCCAGACUCCUACGGGAGGCAGCAGUGGGGAAUAUUGCACAAUGGGCGCAAGCCUGAUGCAGCGACGCCGCGUGAGGGAUGGAGGCCUUCGGGUUGUGAACCUCUUUCGCUCAUGGUCAAGCCGCAACAAUGGUCGUGGUGAGGGUAGUGGGUAAAGAAGCGCCGGCUAACUACGUG
This 483-nucleotide ribosomal RNA is filed under the name uncultured bacterium. RNAcentral describes it as "partial 16S ribosomal RNA". It matches the Rfam family "Bacterial small subunit ribosomal RNA", at positions 28 to 507 of the family's 1533-position model. The record is from RNAcentral.